GACAGCGGUAGAUUCACAAAAAAGGGUGACCAUCGUCUCCAUCUCUCUCCCAUUCUUAAUAGAGAAGCGACAUACCAGCCCCAAGAGGAAAAAUCGGACACCUCCCUUUAGAAAUCAGCUGUCACCCAACACCUCUACUCCAGCUCCAAAAGCGCAACAUCUACACCUCUCAAAACCAUCAUUAAAACUCCAUUUCUAGCCAUGGGAGUAGCCUGAAAACUCCAUAAAGUAAGCUGAAGCUUCAGCACAAAAUCAACUGAAAUACUACCUUAAAAACGCCAUUAAAACAACUCCAAAAUCCUCCAUUAAUCAUGUUGAAGUUCUGUGCUGGAGGUCGUCGCCGACGAGGUUUCCGUUCAGCAGCUCUGGUUCAAUUCGUGAGAGUUUCUUUUCGUAAAUCUGAUGCCUGUGUCAUUUUGUUCUGUGGUUCCUAUUUUCAAAAUAAUAAAGGAAUUUCUAUGCCUUGUCGUGCUCUGACUGUAGUCAUGUUGGAAUCUUCAACUGGAUAGGUUUUUAGUAAACGCCAUAUUGCUAUUGACAGUAAGAAUAUCAUUGCUUGUGUUAUACACAGAAAUUAAGUUUCGUAAAUACUCAUUAUCAUGACAUAUUACUGAUUGCAAGAACUAUAUUGCUGAAAAUUCAUUCUAAUCUUGGUUGUAUGCAACUUCAUUCUGUAAUAUUAUUUUUAGAAUUUAAUCAAUUGAAUUUGAUGCCACGUAUUUUGAUAACACAGUUACCAUUUACCUUCUCGUAAGCUCCUAGUUGAUCAGUGAUAUGCGACAUAAGUUCUUCGGUCCAUGACAAGGAUAUGCUUUUCGCUAGAACUUGAAUAGUAUAUAGUUUUACUCUACAUCCAUUGACUACAUUAAUCUCCAAAUUACGAAUAAAUAACUCAUGAACAUCUUUGCUUGCUUUAGGUGCGAUUAAUAAUAAAUCAUUGUGGCUAUGUGUACGGUUCCUGUGGCAUAGCCAUGAUACAUAAAUCCAAUUCCGGGAGUGCAUUUCAUGUGACCCGAUCACAACUUCUAAUAAUAAUAAAAUAAACAUGUUGUAAAUUGCGGGUGCAUUUCAUGUGGUGUGGUUUGCAAUGUGUACCAAAACAACAAGUGUACGACAAUCGUGACUUGUUCAGGGAAAUAAUUCUAUAAAUAUUAAAAGCGGUUAGAAAGUUAAAAAUGCACAUAGGUUUAAAAUGCGUAUAAAAUUAGAUAAUUAGGCCAAUUAUUAAUAGUCGAGCGACCGUGCUAAAACCACGGAACCGGGAAAUGGCUAACACCUUCUUCCGGGUUAACAGAAUUCCUUACCCAAAUUUUUGUAUUUCGCGGACUAUAAAACAGAGUUAAACUUUCUCGAUUCGGGAUUUUAAACCGGUGACUUGGGACACCAUAAAUUAUCCCAGUGGCAACUCUGAAUUUGAAUAUAAAUAAUCCUGUUUCGAUUAUCGUCACUUUAAUUAGAAAAACUCCCUAUACCUUCGGGAAAAAGGAGGUGUGAUAGCUCUGGCGACUCUGCUGGGGAAAAAAACCCAGAACUUCUGGUUCAGGAUUCUGAAUUCGAGCUUAGAAUAACUAUUAUAGUUGGCUUUUAUUUAUUAUCUGAUUUUUACAUGUUUGAGCCUAAUGUGGUAAAUGUCGCUUUUUACCGCUUUGAUAUUGCUUGGAUUGUAUAUUAACUGUUACGAAACCUUCUUCUCUCUAAGUCUUCUAAAUCAUCUGGGAAGCAUGCACUUCGUGUGACUUCUUUUCUGUUAGAGUCAUAUCCCAAUUUUAGAACGAGGUUCGGAUAAGUUGCAAAGCCGAUGAAGCUUCUGUAAUCCCGAUACGCUGCCCCCCCCCCCGGCUCGACUUAUCCGCUCGGCUAAGCUAGGUCUAGAAUAAUACACUUAGGUUUAAACCUAAAAAGACAUAACCUCAUGCCGGAUCCCUAGUAGACACGUUUGUUUGCAUCAUGUGCAUUUAACUUUAGGGACUCAACACAGGGGUUGAGUCCGUCUAGGACAGGUGUACCCAAAAUUAAAAGACCAUCCUGAUGCAUCCUACGUGCUAUAUUGUACUGACCCGGCCGGUCAUUUCAUGAGUUACCACUUUGUUUCCCCUAUUUCAGCUUUCUUAUGUGUUGUUCAUCUAUAUUUCAUCGUAUCGUGUUGGUUGGUUAGAGUUUGGAGUAGUUUUGGAGUGCUAUGAGACACCUAGUCUCUUAAGUUGGUCAUUUAGUUGGAAAAAACAACCGGAAGUUGACUUGAGAGUAAACAAUCUCGGAAUUUGGUUUUUAUAGUUCGAAUAGCUUUGUUAGGUGAUUCGGGACUUAGGAGCAUAUUCGGAAUGUAAUUUGGAUGUCCGUGGUAGAUUUAUGCUUGAAUUGGCAAAAAUGGAAAUUUGGCGUUUUCCGGUUGGCAGUGGAAAUCUUGAUAUAGAGGUCGAAAUGGAAUUCUGGAAAUUGGAGUAGGUCCGUAUUGUCAUUUGUGACGCAUGUGCAAAAUUUCAGGCCAUUCCGAGUUGAUUUGAUAUGUUUCGGCGUAGUUUUUGGAAUUGGAAAGUUUCUAAGCUCUUAGGCUUGAAUCAGAGGUUGAUUUGGUGUUUUAGUAUUGUUUUGAGUGAUUCGAAGGCUCGAAUAAGUUUUAAUGAUGUUAUGGGAGGUGUUGGCAUAUUUGGUUGAGGUCCCGAGGACCUCGGGUGAGUUUCGGGAGGUUAUUGGACCAAAUUCUUGGUUUUGAGAGUUGCCGAUUUUUCUUCUAUUCUGUUGCAGAGAUUUUUUCUUGUGUUCGCGAGAGGGCCUCACGUUCGCGAAGGGUUAUUGAGAGAGGCAGCUGGUUUGUUCUUCGCUUUCGCGAUGUAGGUCUCGCAUUCGCGAAGGUUCAUGAGUUAAAGCUACGCGUUUGCGGGGAGUGUUCAGCGUUUGCAUAGGGUCGGCUGUUUGGUCUUCGCGUUUGUUGGUGGGUCCUCGCGUUCGCGAAGAAGGUAAUAUUGGCCUGAGGCAAUUUUUGCUUCACGAACGCGAGGGAGCUACCACAUUCGCGAAAAAGGAAAUAAUAGCUGGGCAGAAUGUUUAAAUAGAGGUCUUCGCGAUUUUUGGCUAAUUUCUCACCAUUGUUGAGCGGUUUUGAAGCUUUUUGAGAGGGAUUUGAAGGAAACACUUGGAGGUAAGAUUUUUGGAUUCAAUACUCGAUUCUAUGGUGAUUUCUAACUAAUUAGACAUGAAAUUAGUGGGAUUUAAAGCCUAAAAUUGGAGAAUUAGAGCUUAAAAUUGGGGAGUGUAAAUUGGGGAUUUGAGGGGCUAUUUGAGGUCCGAUUUGAUGUUUUUGGUAUGUAUGGGAUUGUGGGAGGAUGAGGAUUCUAUUGAUGUGAUUUUUAUCGGAUUCCACGACGUGGGCCCGGGGUCGGGUUUGACCAAUUUCUGGAUUUUUGAUGUAAUUUGAUUAUUUUCGCAUGGACUUUGUUCCCUUAGCGUAUAUUGAUGUUAUGAUUCUAAUUUUGGAUAGAUUCGAGGCGAGUUGAGGCCGAGUCGAGAGGCAAGGGUGUCACAGAGUAGGAUUUCAUCUUGUUUGAGGUAAGUAACGAUUGUAAAUCUAGACGUGAGGGUAUGAAACCCCUUAAUUUCGUACUGUUUGAUAAAUGAGGUGACGCACAUGCUAGGUGAUGGGCAUGUGGGUUUGCACCCAUAGGGAUUAUGACUUGGUCCGUCCCGUGGCGACUGUAUAGUUGCAUAUUUUGAUAUACUGUAAAUGAUAUCCAUGUGUUUAAAAAUGAAUUUGUUAACUUGGGCUAAAUGCCAAGUUUGGGACAUUUGUGCCGAACUGUUUAGACCUUUAGGGGUAUUUUACUACUUUCCUCACACUGUCUUAAUUUGAAAGAAUAUCCUCAGUCAUGUUUUACUUAUUUAUUGUUUAACCCGGUUUCAUUACUCUACUUCUUAAUAUAUGAAAACUGUUUGGGUUGAGUUUUCCUGAUUUUCACUGAAAUGCCCGAGUGGCCGUGAGGUUAAUGACUGAGAGAGGUUGGGGAACUAAUGGUGAGGAUUAUAUAUAUAUUAUGGAUCGAUCAGCACGCCACAUAUAUAUAUAUAUAUAUAUAUAUAUACUGGCUGCACGCUGCAGCGAUAUAUAUUGGAUCGGGCUGCACGGCGCAGCGAUAUGAUAUUUGGGAUGUAGGAGCCCCUCCGGAGUCUGUACACCCCCUAUGAGCGUAGUCGACUAUAUAUUAAGGAUCAGGCUGGAUGCCAUAGCAGUUAUUAUUAUGAGAUAGCUAUUGAGUUGGAGUGUAGAGUGUGAGUACUGAUUGACGAGAGCUGAGUCACGAGUGACUGAGAGGCUUGCUCGAGAGGCUAUACUUAUGAGUGAUACUUUGCCCGAGGGGCUUGUUUGUGAGAUUUUAUAUUUUUCACUCUUCUUUUAUACUGAGCCUUUAUUAAAAAAUAUUGAAUAAAUGCUUUAACGGAUUUUUGUUAAAACUGAAGUUUUUUUACGAGGUAAUUGGUUAUUGAACUGUAGAUUUUGACUUUGAUAUUCCUGUUGAGAUUCUUGAUAAAUUAUGCAUAUGAUUUCUAAAUGCUCGUCACUACACUAAGACUUUAUUCACUUUGGUUACUUACUGAGUUGGUGCACUCACGUUACUCCCUGCACCUUGCGUGCAGAUCCAGGUGCCCGAGCAUCAGAGUUAGAGCUUUCAGCACCUUCAAAGUCUUAUCUGGAGAUUACAAGGUAGCUGCACGGCGUUCGCAGCCCUGCCUUUCUCAUUCCUAUCCUAGCACUUUAUAUUUCAGACUUAUUUUGUAUUAAGCAGACAUUGUUGAGUUGUACUUAGUGUCUCAUGACUAGUGACACCAGAUUCGGGCUGUGUUGAUAUAUUUACGUAUUUGUUUCUGCGUAUUUCUUUGAUAUUUUAAAAACAUGAAAG
Molecule: long non-coding RNA, 4892 nt
Filed under: Nicotiana tabacum (common tobacco)
Lineage: Eukaryota; Viridiplantae; Streptophyta; Magnoliopsida; Solanales; Solanaceae
Description: long non-coding RNA (NTAB_LNC015106)
Source: RNAcentral